Molecule: ribosomal RNA, 707 nt
Filed under: Pseudomonas sp. EECC-503
Lineage: Bacteria; Pseudomonadati; Pseudomonadota; Gammaproteobacteria; Pseudomonadales; Pseudomonadaceae
Description: bacterial SSU rRNA
Rfam family: Bacterial small subunit ribosomal RNA
Source: RNAcentral
CGGCGGACGGGUGAGUAAUGCCUAGGAAUCUGCCUGGUAGUGGGGGACAACGUUUCGAAAGGAACGCUAAUACCGCAUACGUCCUACGGGAGAAAGCAGGGGACCUUCGGGCCUUGCGCUAUCAGAUGAGCCUAGGUCGGAUUAGCUAGUUGGUGAGGUAAUGGCUCACCAAGGCCACGAUCCGUAACUGGUCUGAGAGGAUGAUCAGUCACACUGGAACUGAGACACGGUCCAGACUCCUACGGGAGGCAGCAGUGGGGAAUAUUGGACAAUGGGCGAAAGCCUGAUCCAGCCAUGCCGCGUGUGUGAAGAAGGUCUUCGGAUUGUAAAGCACUUUAAGUUGGGAGGAAGGGCAUUAACCUAAUACGUUAGUGUUUUGACGUUACCGACAGAAUAAGCACCGGCUAACUCUGUGCCAGCAGCCGCGGUAAUACAGAGGGUGCAAGCGUUAAUCGGAAUUACUGGGCGUAAAGCGCGCGUAGGUGGUUCGUUAAGUUGGAUGUGAAAUCCCCGGGCUCAACCUGGGAACUGCAUCCAAAACUGGCGAGCUAGAGUAGGGUAGAGGGUGGUGGAAUUUCCUGUGUAGCGGUGAAAUGCGUAGAUAUAGGAAGGAACACCAGUGGCGAAGGCGACCACCUGGACUCAUACUGACACUGAGGUGCGAAAGCGAAGCGUGGGGAUCAAACAGGAUUAGAUACCCUGGUAGU